GUGCCAGCAGCCGCGGUAAUACGUAGGUGGCAAGCGUUGUCCGGAUUUAUUGGGUUUAAAGGGUGCGUAGGCGGCCAUUUAAGUCAGUGCUGAAAUACUCUAGCUUAACUAGAGGGGUGGCAUUGAUACUGAAUGGCUUGAGUGAAGUCGAGGUAGGCGGAAUUGACGGUGUAGCGGUGAAAUGCUUAGAUAUCGUCAAGAACACCGAUAGUGAAGACAGCUUACUAGACUUCAACUGACGCUGAGGCACGAAAGUGUGGGGAUCAAACAGGAUUAGAAACCCGCGUAGUCC
RNAcentral lists this ribosomal RNA (292 nucleotides) under uncultured bacterium. RNAcentral describes it as "partial 16S ribosomal RNA". It matches the Rfam family "Bacterial small subunit ribosomal RNA", at positions 505 to 796 of the family's 1533-position model. The record is from RNAcentral.